UCCCUGGUAGCUAAGCUGGUAAAGAAUCCACCUGCAAUGCAGGAGACCCAGGUUCAAUUCCUGGGUCAGGGAA
Molecule: non-coding RNA, 73 nt
Organism: Bos taurus (domestic cattle)
Lineage: Eukaryota; Metazoa; Chordata; Mammalia; Artiodactyla; Bovidae
Source: Rfam